RNAcentral lists this long non-coding RNA (1210 nucleotides) under Homo sapiens (human). RNAcentral's name for it is "non-protein coding lnc-C21orf62-7:3". Lineage: Eukaryota; Metazoa; Chordata; Mammalia; Primates; Hominidae. The record is from RNAcentral.
CAGGAGGACACCCGGGGCCUGACCUGUGCACAGCAGGACCUUGCUAUCCCACCAGACCGGAGUACACAGGCUGCAUGUGAAGGAAGAGGCUGAUCUUUGGGCUUUCCAAAAGCUGCAGUUCUGGGACCUGGGGGAAAAUUGGAGUGCCUGGCUUCCAAACAGGCAUAAUGGCUCUCUGCAAGACCAAGCUUGGAUUUUGAUUUUGCUUCCUUUAUGUGAAGCCAGGAGAGAGCUUAGCGCCCAGUACUCCGUGCCCCACCCCCACCACAUCGCAGCCUCCCACAGUCACCAGGAAAAGUGGGGGCUUUCAGCGGCAGCCAGAAGGAAUUCAGAAACAUCACAUUUCAUUUCGGGAAGAAUUGGAUCAGCACCAGUUUGGUGUUGAGGCCAUGAGAUUGUGGCAUUUUUAUCCCAAAUUUAUCCUCCCUUGGUCUCUCUCAGUGUGUGUGUCUGUAGGAAGUCAUCGUGUAGCAUUAUGCUAUGAAGAAAGCAUCCCACACUUAUUCAAUUGCAUCGUCCCACAUUCUGGAUCGGGAGACACAGACUCAAGUCAACCUGCAGCUGCCUAAUUUUGCAGGGAAGCAGCCAUCCUGAUGUUUGCAGGUUGGAGGCCUCCAAGUGACACACAUCAGGAAGAAAUGGGCUCUCCAAUCCCAGAUGAGCUGAAACACAAACGUUUUCUGAGGGAACAGUCAGGAGUCCUAUCUUUCUGAGCCCUUUUCGAUGCAAGCAACCAUUGAUGAAGAAGCAUUUAUGCUUGAUACCUAUGGCAGGUGUUCUUCGGUGUGGAGAUGUUGUCAAUGAAAGAUUCAAAAGUGGUUCAAUUAUCAGAAGACCCUAUUUGUUUGCUUUUGCCCAGCUUUUGUUUGCUCUGUCACUCAGGGAGAAUAUAAACAACUUUGGCGAGGUAAGAUGGAAAAACAGCCGGUACGGAAAUGUUCGAUGGACAAAUGAGAGGACUUGGCAGAAGUUUGGCUUAGAAGAUGAAUGAUAGAGCCCCGGACAGAAUGCAAUAGUGGCAAUAGGCAUGCAUUCUUUGCAGAUGUGCACCGAAGGCUACAGGCUACUGUGUCUUUUUCUUCUGGCUUCUCUCUUGAGCUUCUGACACUGCACAGAAAGUGGGUCGGUCCUCUGACAGGCUUGAAAAAUGCAAAAGUUUACCACCAACUGGUGGGAAUACAUGCAACACAUGCAUAAAACAGAGCAUCAG